RNAcentral lists this small nuclear RNA (100 nucleotides) under Sus scrofa (pig). The record is from RNAcentral. Lineage: Eukaryota; Metazoa; Chordata; Mammalia; Artiodactyla; Suidae.
UUAAAAAUUAAAAAAAAAUAAAAAUGGAAUGAUACAAAGAAGAUUAGAAUGGCCCCUGCGCAAGGAUGACAUACAAAUUCAGGAACCAUUCCAUAUUUUU